RNAcentral lists this transfer RNA (85 nucleotides) under Xyrichtys novacula (pearly razorfish). Its description in RNAcentral is "tRNA.Undet". Lineage: Eukaryota; Metazoa; Chordata; Actinopteri; Labriformes; Labridae. The record is from RNAcentral.
CAUAGCUCAGUUGGUAGAGCAUGGCACUGUAAGAAGUUCCUCAAACACCGUGGUCCAAAGGUCGCUGGUUCAACUCCAGCUCCAA